UUGGUUUAUUCUCUUAUGUGUUAUGUAUUAUGUGUUAUGCAAAAGCCUGUACUCUUGCCCGUAUCGUUAGGAACUUUCGUUAAAAAGUAACUAGUACUCUUUUGCACCAGUCUUUUAUUCGCCUCUGCAGUGGUUGGAUGUGGUUCCUGUAACUACGCAUAUUUUUUAUCUUGGGGACUGCGUACGCGUUGUCCCUGUUUCUCUUUUAUUUCCAAAAUCGUGAUUAGCGUAAGAGAAGGAAUGUAAUAACUCUGCUCAGAGCCAUAUAUUGAAUGAAUGAAAAAAAAACUCUUUUGCACCAUGUUGAAAACAAUUGUGAAACAGGAAAACAGUACUGUCAAUACUUUCAAAGUAUUUCGGAAGACGAUCAUUUUGUCUUUUAAUAUUAUGCUGCUAUAAACCCUUAACAAUAUUUAGUAGUCCCAGAAUUGUCGAAAUUAACAUCAAACGUUUCUGAUCAUAUCUGUCAGUUGUUACAAAAUAAAAGUUAAGGUGUUAUAUUUAUGACUGGAUAAAAAUUCAUAAGCAGAAAGAAAAAUGAUGUGAGAUAUUGUGAAAAAAUUUUGUGUAUAUGUAAACAGAUAUUGUAGUGAACAUCACUAUACGAAGAAAAUAUUUGUGCAAGUUCUAAGUGUUCUAAAGAUGUGAUCGACGUUAAGCAGAUGUUCGAUUUUCUCGUUAUGUUAACAUUAAUAUAUGUAUCGAGCUAGUAGCUUAAAAGAUGAAACUGUGUUGCUUGACGAGUUCACGUGAUUUGCAACUUUUGUAGUAGGGAAACUACUCGCUGUCGCAAAAUUUUAUCAUACAAAUAUGAAUAAGAAUCACGCAAAUAAGAGAUUGAAUCAACUACCGAGUUGGCUAUGGACUAACUCGACUACCUUACCACCAGUUUAUAAAAUGGUUUGGGAAGCUGUGCGAGAAGAUCACGUCAGAUCGAAUAAUGUGCAAUCUGAGGUACUAGUCGAUACUAACAAGGUUUUUCCGCUAUUACUUACUAGCCAGCUGCCUACGGAUGUUCUUGGUCACAUAUGGAGCUUGGCCAACCAGAAGUACUCUGGACAACUUACUGAGCAAGAGUUAUACAUAGUGUUAGCCCUUGUGGCUGCUGCUCAAACAUCCUAUACUUUCAAUAGUCUUGAUAUAUUGCAUUUACUUCCUUUUCCACCAACACCAUAUUUGAACAUAGAAUGUUUGAUCAAUCUACAACCCACUGCACAAAUGGAUACAUCAAAACUUCAAUAUUUUCCUAAUGAGGAAGUUCAGUUUGAUAACACAAGUAUAGAAGAAAAAUGUACUUCUGAUAUUAAGGAAAAAACUAAAGUUAAAAUUCAUGGGAAUGCAAUGGCUGAUGCAAAUAUAUCCUCAAACAAUCUGCUAGGAAAAUCUUGUUUUGAUACUAAGAUUCAAAUGUUCACUACAGCUGGAAACAAUCAUAAUAUGUUUAAAAAUAUUAAGCGAUCAUCAAAUAUUCAAACUGAUGCAUUACUUACAUCAUCCUUUGAUGAAUCCUGUGAUGAAUUUACAGAAUUUCAGAGUGCACCGAUUCCUAGUAUCUCUACAAUACCAAUUUUGGAUAGUAAACAAGGUUCCGCAAUUGGCAGCAGACUUGCCAAUCACAAUUUAGGAGUAAAGAAAUCAGUUGAUAAGGGGAAAAAAAGUACUGUUGGAACAAAACUUGUACAUGUUAAUGCACAAAUUCGUACAGCUACAUCUACAAAUAUGCUGUAUCAAAAUAAGGAUCAGUCUACAACAGAAUCUGUAACAGAUCUAUUUCCUAAAUGUGCAGUAAAGAAUCAAUCGAAAACAGUAAUACUCAAAGAUACUAUAAUAAGAAAUAAUGAAAUGCCUAAAGAAUAUAACAAUAGUUUUAAUAACUUGGCAAGUAUAACAGAGACCAUACAUUUUAGUAACAAUAAAGAAGUAUUACCUAAAAUGGAGUUAACAUCAAAGGCUGUCAUGGUAGAUAUAUCUGAUUCUGUUCAACAAGAUUUAAUGAGCUUGCAACUUGUUGAAGACAAAUACAGUGCAUUGCGUGCAUUAGUUCAGGAAACAUCUGUUAUAAAUGAUACAAAAUUAGAUCUAAUUCUUAAUAAUCAAUCAGCUGAUGAAUUUGGUGAAUUUAUGUCUGCGGAACAACCAAUUGCUAAUUCUUCAAUAUCAGAUAUUUUGGAUACUGAAAGCUUUAGUAAUAUAUUCACAAAUUUUGAGUGUAAAGCUCACAUUAAUAUUGAUAAUAGUCACUUGGCAGAUCUGAAUUUUGUAUCUGAAGCAUCUGAAUUGUUCGAUAAUCUGAAACUUGAUGAUGGAAUUGAAGGACAAUUGAUAGAGUCAGGGAAAAAUAUUCAGAAAGAGGAUGCUAUUUCAAUAAAUAGUGUAGAAUUAAUUAGUAGUCCAACUGAAGCACUGCCAAGAUCUGGAUCUGUGCCUAGCUUAGAUCUUAAAUCAUUUUUACCUUCAAAUAUAGAAGAAGAUCAAGUUGUAGAAGCUCCACAGCAGAAUAUAUAUUGGGAAUGGAAACAAUAUAUGGAAAGUUGUAUAUUGCUAUUACAAGUCGCAGCUAAUAUAUUUACUAAUAUUACAUCUGAAUUAAUCUUGCACGAAGUCUUAAAUUCAGCACAGGGGUAUGAUUUUCUUUGCCAUUUAGCUGAAGUUGCAGCUGUUUGUAGACGAGUCAAUUUUUCAUAUAAAGAAUUGGAUAUAAACAUUAUUGGAUUUGAUGAUCUUUUAAUGGACAUUGAUCGAAUUUGGGCUGAAAUGGAGCCUUUCUAUGCAAAUAUACCACAUUCAAACAUCACUACAUAUGUCGAACACACUCGUACAUAACUUUCAAAUUAUGGCGCCUCUGACGAUGGGUUCGCAACACCUCUAACAGAAGAAAUGUGAGAUGGACAUUUUCGGCGUGGCAGUUUUACCAAUGCUAGCGAACAUGAAAUCUUCGUAAAUUGAACUUUGGACUGGAGUAUCUCGGCUCACAGGAUACGUAGAGCAAAAAUAAAGACAGUGUUAUUAACUAAUUUAGACCCAAGGAAUCGAUUGAGACCACUGAGAACUGCACUGGUUUAGUGAUACUGUCAAAGCAUUUCUUGAGAAGAACAAAGUAGGAAAAUAUAAUGAAGAAGAUAUGAGAAAAAAGAGUAAAAACGAAGAAAAAAAGAAAAAGAAGAGAAAAACGUGAGGAGGUAGAAGGACGUUUAAUCAGUCUAUGUAAAAUUGGAGAUCGCUGUGAGGUAUCUGUUCCAAAUCAACGAAAGCGAAGACCUACAGUUUUAUAUGUUGACGCUCCACUGCAAAAGUGCUACCGGAGUUGCCAGAGUAGGCAGUGAUAAGAAACCGCGCGGAGUGCAAAGGAUUAAAGAUGACUGGUGGACUGGUGUUAAGUACAAUGAAACUCUUGGCAAAAAUGAUGGAAGUAACAUCCUCUGACAAAGUUGAUAACACGAGAAACGAGCUGG
Molecule: unclassified non-coding RNA, 3452 nt
Filed under: Harpegnathos saltator (Jerdon's jumping ant)
Lineage: Eukaryota; Metazoa; Arthropoda; Insecta; Hymenoptera; Formicidae
Description: synergin gamma, transcript variant X5
Source: RNAcentral